AAUAAGUUAUCCCGCCUGAAGGAUCAGAGAAGUCAGAAGGUUCUUGAUAUAAUAUAUACCUAGGUAUGAAGUUCAAUCAUAAAUCCCACAAGUAUUAGAAGGAGAUGAAGAAAUAUUCAUACAUCACAGAAGGAGAGUGGAACAAAGGAAAUACUGGAGGGAUGUUAUUUCCAAACUAUCCAAUCUACUGAUAUAUGAUAUCUAAUUAUAGUAGAAUGGUACAAAUAAAGGAUGAAAUCCAAUCAUAGUAGAAUGGUAUAGUUAAGGAUCAAGACUGAAGAAAAAAAGACGAGCAAAAGGACAUCAAAUAGGAUCAAGACUGAAGAAAAAAAGACGAGCAAAAGGACAUCAAAUUUUCAGUCACAGUUCUGGGUUUGAGAGCAGAUGACCCCCCCUUGAGUAUGAUGGUUAGCAAAAUGCAGAAGGAGAAGAGAAUCCUCGAAUUACUACAUUCAUGAUCGAGGUAAUCUAGGGUUUCUACCACUUGGAGUCUGUAUCUCGGUUAACCUGUCUACGUUGAAAAGCAAGAUACUGGUGACACGGCGGUUAAGUCGUAGAAUAAAUACGACUUCGGCAGCCGAACCCGCCUGAAGAUUUUCUUGAAGUCGGGUUUGUGGUGUCCCAAACUUGUGGUGAAACACAAGAGUUUAGUGGUACCGAAAAUUGGUGGAGAAACCGGAGAUUUGAUCUUAAUCGGGUGAGGUAGGUGUAUCUUCAGAGGGGCGAUUCCCUACUUCCUUUGGAAAUUCUUGCCAUAUCUUUUGUGGGUUACUUCGUUGAAAGAUGAAAUUAUAUAUUUUUAGAGAUUAC
RNAcentral lists this long non-coding RNA (810 nucleotides) under Linum usitatissimum (flax). RNAcentral's name for it is "long non-coding RNA (LUSI_LNC002382)". The record is from RNAcentral. Lineage: Eukaryota; Viridiplantae; Streptophyta; Magnoliopsida; Malpighiales; Linaceae.